RNAcentral lists this ribosomal RNA (464 nucleotides) under uncultured bacterium. RNAcentral's name for it is "partial 16S ribosomal RNA". It matches the Rfam family "Bacterial small subunit ribosomal RNA", at positions 338 to 795 of the family's 1533-position model. The record is from RNAcentral.
CCUACGGGAGGCAGCAGUGGGGAAUCUUCCGCAAUGGGCGAAAGCCUGACGGAGCAACGCCGCGUGAUCGAAUGAAGGCCUUCGGGUUGUAAAGAUCUGUUGACAUGGCCGAAUAAGCAAUGCCAAUAGUUUUGUGUAUGACGGUACCUGUUUAGAAAGCUCCGGCUAACUACGUGCCAGCAGCCGCGGUAAUACGUAGGGAGCAAGCGUUGUCCGGAAUUACUGGGCGUAAAGGGCGCGUAGGUGGGCGAUUAAGUCAGGUGUGAAAACUCCGGGCUCAACCUUGGGACUGUAAUUGAAACUGUGUGUCUAGAGGGACGGAGAGGAAAGUGGAAUACCUAGUGUAGAGGUGAAAUGCGUAGAUAUUAGGAGGAACACCAGUGGCGAAGGCGACUUUCUGGACUGUACAUGACGCUGAGGCGCGAAAGCGUGGGUAGCGAACGGGAUUAGAUACCCGGGUAGUC